UGGGGAAUUUUGGACAAUGGGCGAAAGACUGAUCCAGCAAUGCCGCGUGUGUGAAGAAGGCCUUCGGGUUGUAAAGCACUUUUGUCCGGAAAGAAAUCCUUGGCUCUAAUACAGUCGGGGGAUGACGGUACCGGAAGAAUAAGCACCGGCUAACUACGUGCCAGCAGCCGCGGUAAUACGUAGGGUGCAAGCGUUAAUCGGAAUUACUGGGCGUAAAGCGUGCGCAGGCGGUUUGCUAAGACCGAUGUGAAAUCCCCGGGCUCAACCUGGGAACUGCAUUGGUGACUGGCAGGCUAGAGUAUGGCAGAGGGGGGUAGAAUUCCACGUGUAGCAGUGAAAUGCGUAGAGAUGUGGAGGAAUACCGAUGGCGAAGGCAGCCCCCUGGGCCAAUACUGACGCUCAUGCACGAAAGCGUGGGGAGCAAAACAGGAUUAGAUACCCUGGUAGUCCACGCCCUAAAACGAUGUCAACUAGUUGUUGGGGAUUCAUUUCCUUAGUAACGUAGCUAACGCGUGAAGUUGACCGCCUGGGGAGUACGGUCGCAAGAUUAAAACUCAAAGGAAUUGACGGGGUCAUAGCUGUUUCCU
This 587-nucleotide ribosomal RNA is filed under the name uncultured bacterium. RNAcentral describes it as "partial 16S ribosomal RNA". It matches the Rfam family "Bacterial small subunit ribosomal RNA", at positions 355 to 1375 of the family's 1533-position model. The record is from RNAcentral.